Molecule: ribosomal RNA, 253 nt
Filed under: uncultured bacterium
Lineage: Bacteria
Description: partial 16S ribosomal RNA
Rfam family: Bacterial small subunit ribosomal RNA
Source: RNAcentral
UACGUAGGUGGCAAGCGUUGUCCGGAUUUACUGGGCGUAAAGAGCGCGCAGGCGGUCGUUCAAGUCGCGUGUGAAAGCCCCCGGCUCAACUGGGGAGGGUCACGCGAUACUGAUCGACUCGAAGGCAGGAGAGGGAAGUGGAAUUCCCGGUGUAGUGGUGAAAUGCGUAGAUAUCGGGAGGAACACCAGUGGCGAAGGCGACUUCCUGGCCUGUUCUUGACGCUGAGGCGCGAAAGCUAGGGUAGCAAACGGG